Molecule: ribosomal RNA, 426 nt
Filed under: uncultured bacterium
Lineage: Bacteria
Description: bacterial SSU rRNA
Rfam family: Bacterial small subunit ribosomal RNA
Source: RNAcentral
UGGGGAAUAUUGGACAAUGGGCGCAAGCCUGAUCCAGCAAUGCCGCGUGUGUGAAGAAGGCCUUCGGGUUGUAAAGCACUUUUAUCCGGAGCGAAAUAUUAUCGGUUAAUAACCGGUGGGGCUGACGGUACCUGAGGAAUAAGCACCGGCUAACUUCGUGCCAGCAGCCGCGGUAAUACGAAGGGUGCAAGCGUUAAUCGGAAUUACUGGGCGUAAAGCGUGCGCAGGCGGUUUGUUAAGUCUGCUGUGAAAUCCCCGAGCUCAACUUGGGAAUUGCAGUGGAUACUGGCAAGCUAGAGUACGGUAGAGGAAGGUGGAAUUCCCGGUGUAGCAGUGAAAUGCGUAGAGAUCGGGAGGAACACCAGUGGCGAAGGCGGCCUUCUGGACCAGUACUGACGCUCAUGCACGAAAGCGUGGGGAGCAAAC